This 238-nucleotide unclassified non-coding RNA is filed under the name Hevea brasiliensis (rubber tree). Lineage: Eukaryota; Viridiplantae; Streptophyta; Magnoliopsida; Malpighiales; Euphorbiaceae. The record is from RNAcentral.
GUUAUCGUUCCAAAUUGAAUGUGGCAGAAAAAGCCUGAGAUCCCCAACUCCAUUGCCACGCUACAUAGGUCGUUUAUGUUGAAUCAAUGGCGAUGAUUCGUCGUCGUUUGCCCUUCUCUUUUCCGCUUCUCCUCCUCCUCUUCCAGUUCGUCCAAUUCCAUUCCCUACCAUUUGCUCUAGCAUUCCACCCAAAUGAUACCCACAUCCUCCAGGGUGUUUUGAAAGAGAUAUCGCAAAG